UGGUGAACUAUACUUGAUCAGGUGAAGUCAGGGGAAACCUGAUGGAAGACCGAAACAGUUCUGACGUGAAAAUCGAUUGUCAGAAUUGAGUAUAGGGGCGAAAGACCAAUCGAACCAUCUAGUAGCUGGUUCCUUUCGAAGUUUCCCUCAGGAUAGCUGGUGCAUUUAAAUGUUAUAUAAAAUAAUCUUAUCUGGUAAAGCGAAUGAUUAGAGGCCUUAAGGUCGAAACGAUCUUAACUUAUUCUCAAACUUUAAAUGGGUAAGAACCUUAACUUUCUUGAUAUGAAGUUUAAGGUUAUGAUAUAUUGUGCCCAGUGGGCCACUUUUGGUAAGCAGAACUGGCGCUGUGGGAUGAACCAAACGUAAUGUUACGGUGCCCAAAUUAACAACUCAUACAGAAACCAUGAAAGGCGUUGGUUGCUUAAAACAGCAGGACGGUGAUCAUGGAAGUCGAAAUCCGCUAAGGAGUGUGUAACAACUCACCUGCCGCAGCAACUAGCCCUUAAAAUGGAUGACGCUUAAGUUGUAUACCUAUACAUUACCGCUAAAGUAGAUGAUUUAUAUUAUUUAUAAUAUAAAUUUUGAAACUUUAGUGGUUUAGGAAGGUACAAUGGUGUGCUUAGAAGUGUUUGGCGUAAGCCUGCAUGGAGCCGCCAUUGGUACAGAUCUUGGUGGUAGUAGCAAAUAAUCGAAUGAGACCUUGGAGGACUGAAGUGGAGAAGGGUUUCCUGUGAACAGUGGUUGAUCACGAGUUAGUCGGUCCUAAGUUCAAGGCGAAAGCCGAAAAUUUUCAAGUUUUAAAAAUGUCAAAUGAAAUAAUAAAUAAUAAAACACUUGAAUAAUUUUGAACGAAAGGGAAUACGGUUCCAAUUCCGUAACCUGUUGAGUAUCCGUUUGUUAUUAAAUAUGGGCCUCGUGCUCAUCCUGGCAACAGGAACGACCAUAAAGAAGCCGUCGAGAGGUAUCGGAAGGACAGGGUCCUGGUGAACGCAGAAGGUCAACGCAGAAAUGCUAUACUUCGUAAGUCCGGAUCCAGGUCAAGUCGACUCGAAACCUCCUCGUGGUGUCCUCUGGAUGCUAUCUAGGCCAUUGUCUAGUUAGUAACAGAUUCGAGCGGCGGUAUUCUGAAGGUCUAAUCCUGACGAAUAUUAGAUAACGUUGGAAUAUGGUCUAGGAUUACGUCCGCCUACUGAAAAUUUGAGUACACUUUUAAGUUGGAGCAAAAUCCAACAUAAAUGAAAUAUGAUUUGCCACAUUCUAAUCUUGGGGUUACAAACAAAUUAACCAAAGGCGCUUGCUGCCUCAGCUUGACAUCUAAAAGAAGGCACAAACAUCGCAUGGCUACAAGAAGAGGUUUUAGUACGUAGGCGCUGUGGAACUUUCUAGUUCUGAUGAUGCAGUGAAUCGUGCAUGCGGCAAUUCACCCGUAGUAAGGUGACCGUAUCUUUCGAAGAUUUCCUCCCUCUGCGAUCAAAAAAAAAAAAAAAAAAAAAUAGACAAAUGCCUCGUCAUCUAAUUAGUGACGCGCAUGAAUGGAUUAACGAGAUUCCUACUGUCCCUAUCUACUAUCUAGCGAAACCACAGUCAAGGGAACGGGCUUGGAAUAAUUAGCGGGGAAAGAAGACCCUUUUGAGCUUGACUCUAAUCUGGCAGUGUAAGGAGACAUAAGAGGUGUAGAAUAAGUGGGAGAUAUUUUUCCUUGUGUUUGAUAUCGCCAAUGAAAUACCACUACUCUUAUUGUUUCCUUACUUACUUGAUUAAAUGGAACGUGUAUCAUUUCCUAGCCAUUAUACGGAUAUAUUUAUUAUAUCUUAUGGUAUUGGGUUUUGAUGCAAGCUUCUUGAUCAAAGUAUCACGAGUUUGUUAUAUAAUCGCAAACAAAUUCUUUAAUGAGAGAGUGCAUUUAUGUAUUUUUAAUUUGAAAUAUUUGGUAUAACUCCAAUUACUCAGGUAUGAUCCAAUUCAAGGACAUUGCCAGGUAGGGAGUUUGACUGGGGCGGUACAUCUCUCAAUAAUAACAAACGUGUCCCAAGGCCAGCUCAGUGCGGACAGAAACCACACAUAGA
RNAcentral lists this ribosomal RNA (2066 nucleotides) under Drosophila willistoni. Its description in RNAcentral is "eukaryotic LSU rRNA". It matches the Rfam family "Eukaryotic large subunit ribosomal RNA", at positions 824 to 2700 of the family's 3401-position model. Lineage: Eukaryota; Metazoa; Arthropoda; Insecta; Diptera; Drosophilidae. The record is from RNAcentral.